This is a long non-coding RNA of Falco peregrinus (peregrine falcon), 4367 nucleotides long. RefSeq lists it as uncharacterized. The record is from RefSeq and is a predicted model, not a curated record. NCBI's taxonomy places the organism in Eukaryota, Metazoa, Chordata, Aves, Falconiformes, Falconidae. The transcript is spliced from 4 exons.
GGGAGCGGGGCCUGUCGCCGCCCUGGCUGAGGGGAGGGCGGGCGGGUGGAGAGCCCGGGCCCGGCGCAGCCAUGCCCGCCCCGCGGGGCGGGGGGCCGCGGCUGGGGCGCUGAUGGCUGCGGGUAGCCGUGCCUCUGAGCCGGCCGGGUUUAUGGCUGGCGGAGCGGAGAGGCCGCAUUGCGCCGUGCCAUCGGUUGGCCUGCAUUUGGCAUCGGCGGGGCGCUACGGCGCGCUCGGUGCGGUGUGCGGUGCGGGAGGGUACGGCUCCCGCGGGGGCAGCCGGAGCCCGCAGCAGGCCACCGUGCUCCCAGUAAAGCAAAACAGCGCCUUCCCGGGGGGAGGGCUUCUGUGCCCGCUGGAACAUGACAUCACCACAAAUAAUUAUUGCAUAAGUGUCCCGUCGCGGAUGCCAUUGAUAUUACAGUCUUUUUGUUUAACUCCAGCAAUGACAGCAGCAGCUUCUAUCUAGAAUCUCCCAAGGAUACUGUUUAACUUAUAUUCCAGUUGCCAAGUCCAUUUCUGUCAAAAACAGCCUUUGUGGCUGUGUACCCUUUCUGUGAAAGCCCAAAGCCUUGGUGUGUUUACACUCCCCUGUGGGAGCUGCCCUUGGCUCUUUGACUUUCUUUCUAAGGUUCCGAUCCUCCAUCUAAAAAGUCUACACUUCAAAAAAUUUCUACAUGUAAAAACCCAAGUGUUACAGUGAUUGUAUGUUUGAAAAGAUAUUGGGCCAUGUGUGCAAGCUUCUAGUAGUGGUGUUUGGUAGUUGAGGCUUACCCACUUGUUACUGUAACAAGUAAUUUCAGAAUUGGGUAUUACAAAACUGCUGGGUCCUUUUGAUUCCUUCUGUGUGUGGCUUUUCUGAAAAAUUGUGCAUAGAAGUCAGUAACUGGCUGUCUCCCAAAGCUGUUGUUUUCUGCAGCCACACCAAGCGGCAAACAGGUCUUUAGCUUGGGAUGUCAUCCUCUCAAAUUGAGCUCAAGGAAGAUGUGGUGGGUCACGUGAAACAAGGAACUUGAAUUACAUCAUCAGCAAGUAGCUUCUGGUCUGCUAGUGACUGUGAGCAGGUGAAAGACCUGAAAAAAUUCGCUAAGAGUUACGCAAUAAGUGCUAAGUAAAGGUGUCUAUGAGAGAGCUGUGAAGUAAGUUAAAAUUGCCCGAAGGCAAAAUGAGUGUGCCAGCUUCUGUCCCCAUAUGGGUCAUGGGUCUGCAUCUGCAUACACAAGCUCUUAAACUCACCUUUUUCUAUUGGAAAGAUAAAGGUGUUGAACUAAAUCUAGCCUAAUCUGAACUAAUAAGAGACUAAUGUGAACUAAAUCUGAAAUGGGAAUGUUUUCAUUCCACAGUUCAACCAAGUAGUUCAUUUAAAGUUAUUGCCAAGUGUUUUUGCAUAGUCUUGGCCAAAUUUUUGAUGGGAGGAUUGAAGAAAGUAGAGAUUCAGCCCUUCAUGUGUGGCAGUGCACUAGAAAAGAUAGUUUAAUAGUUGUUGAUAAUUCUAAUCCUUGUUUUUCAGUCUUCUGUUGUGGUAACACGGCAUAUGUUCGCAGAGGUUGCAUAUCCAGUGUGAAGGGCUUUGUCGUGCAGUGUGAUGAUAGUGUAGUGCAGUGCAAACUUCAGCUAAAUACUGCUGUCACAGAGCAUUCCAAGGGAAGAUGCUAUGGUUAGUGAGGAGUGCCUGUGUCUCUUAUUAGACUGAAUCAUAUAGAGGGAGAGAGGAGAGCAGUGGGCAAGCUUUCAGGAAUACAAGCCUUUCUUCUUCAGCUGCUUUAAGAAAAAGAAAUGUUGGAAACCUAUAUCAACGAAUCUGUGCUGUUCCUAAAAUCAGAGUGGUAAAGCUGUUCUUUGUCAAAAACCUGGAUUACUUCAUUAGCUUCUAGAAAUGUAAUAGCUGCUGCUUUUCCAUUAAGCUGUUUCCGGUUACAUGCUACUGUGAACGCACCUGUCAAACAGAAUGGUGUUUGGACCAAUAUACAUGUCAUUGCACAAUUAGUUGCUCUUAAGUUCAACAAAACAGCCCCAGGAUAUAUCGGCAGUUCUGGAGAUAACACUGCACCUCUUCUGAAGGGGGCGCUUACAGUCCUUACCUCACCAUUACAAGGAUGACUGUAUGCUGACAAGGAAACAGGCUUCUGAAUGAGCUACCAGAAUACCAUUGCAAAGCUUCCUGUAACUCCAAAAGAAAAUCUGUACUGACUUUACAUCGCUGCCUGUGAUGUACUAUCCUACACUAGAACCUCUCUGGAAAAAUAAUUAAAUAAUCCCCUCAUCCUGGAAAAAGUUCUGUGCUUUGAAAUAAAGCUUUCCCAGAAUUUUCCAUUUGCCCUAUGUAGGUUUCAGGUGGUGCUCUGUGUGAAACAACCUUCCUGGAAAUCAGUGAGUACUGAGCAGAAUUGGACUAUGUGUGAGCCGUGCAUAAUAAAUGCCCUCUACAGCAGAACUGCCAUGAUCUAUGGAUCCUACUCAUUCCCAUCCCAGAAUGUGACAAACUUGCUCAAUAUACUGAAUGUCCUCAUCGACGUUACUGGGACGAACCUGAAGAGCUACCAGCCAUUAGAGUGGCUCUCACAGGCUGAAGGACAGAAAUGGCCAGUCAGCAGCUGAAGAAUAUUUUCACAAAGCAAUCCAAGUGGACCGAUGGAGUGCCUCCAAAACAUAUUCCCGGAGCUUCACUUUUUUAACUGGGGUGGAUGCUUAAAAACUGUGGUUUCAACAGAAGCAUAAAUUUGGUACUUAAUCUUGUCAUUAUUCUUCCUUUCAACCCUUUGCUUUCACAUAGGCAAUAAUUAACAACUGUUCUUUAAAUUCCAUGAUGAUUAAAGCCCCUCCUCACUUCUAAAUGCUAAUAUUCUUUUCUCUAUUAAAGAUCUAGAUUUUUACUGGAAUCAGAGUAUUUUAAUUCUUAUUAGACGUUUGAAGGGCCACAGAUUUUUAACAACUUAGAUCUAUUAAUCUGAUUAAAAUACAUAUUUUUCUAUUGCCUUCUGUCUGGAAUCCAUUUUCAGCACAGACAGAAGGAGGGAAGUUAAGAAAGAGAUGUGUAUUCCCUAACUCAACAGGGCUCUUUGUUUUCAAGCAAUAAAAAUAAAGAGGAUCUUUUUUGAGUUUCCUUUAAUUAUGAGCCUGAGGGUAGAAGGAAAAGAGGAGUGAUUUUUUUUUUUUUUUUCUCAGUAUGAUGUUUGUGAUGUAGUUCUGCCUGGAGGAGUUGCUGUUUUGUUGCUAAAUUAUAACUAUCUUUCCUGUGGCUGUAGAGGAGAUUUGGCUGUGUUACAUUUCUGAUUUGUGGUUGUCUUCCUUUUUCUGUGGGAGCUCUCCAAAAUGGUAAAUGGGAGUUAUAUCUGUGACUUAAAUGUGCUACUUUCUGUCUUUCACAAUCGUAUGGAUUUCCUUUUGGUAUGAACCAGAGCUGAGUGUCAAGUCAGUUCUUGCAGUCUGGCUUUUUCAUUUUAGAGAAAACAUGAUGCAUUUGAAAUGUAUUUGAAAUACCGUUUUCUCAUUAGAUCGUUAGGUUAUGCAAGGUGGAGGAUGGCAGUUACCCUUAAAGCGAUUUAUUACAUUGUGGUUGUGAAUCUAAUGAGGGAAGAUGGGAUUCAAGAAGGGACAUGAUAAAAGUUUUUGUAGAAGUGGGUAUAGUCUGGGUGAUGAAGGGAUAUGAGAAAAUUAAUGUUUAAAAAAAAGUUUAAAAAUCCCUCAGUGUGUACAGUUCUGCUGUUACUUAGGAGCAGCCCUUGAUCAAGCAUAGGCACCAAGUCGUAUCCUGUAGUUUUCUUCUUCAUGGGAGUCUCCUGGUUUUUGAAGCAGCAAAGUCAAGAAUGCAUGGCUUUUUGAGAAAUGAAGAAAUUAUUUUGUCUUAUUCCUUAGGGGGUAACUUCCUUUCUCUGAGCAAGUGUAAACAGAACUGUCAGUGAUCCUGAGCAUUUUUCUUUUCAGGUAGAAAAAGAGUAGUUAAGAUGUGAGCAAGAAACUUAGGAAGUGUGCAGUCUACUGCAGGGAGUUUUAGGCAUAAGUAUAGGAAGAAAGGAAGUUCAUAAUUAGCAUCACCUCCAGCCAGUGUCGCUUUUUUCUGCCCAUGCAGCAGUAAUCUGGGGGACUUUAGAUCUCCAGAGUACAGCAAUUAGAUAACCCAAGCCAAGAAGAUCUAAGCGUAAGUUUUGUAAACAAGUAAAUUAGGACUCACACCUUUACUGAACGGGAAGAAAAAACCUGAAAAAGAAGGCAUCAUGUAAAGACCAACAGAUGGGCUUCUAAUACGUUGGGGCUAUUCAAAAACAGAUGACUGAGUAACAGCACGGAAACAAAGCAGACAGUAGAGAAGCAGCAAACUCACCUUUUCCAGAAGUGACAUCAAAUACUACUCCCUUCACCGCCAGGUA